Molecule: ribosomal RNA, 253 nt
Filed under: uncultured bacterium
Lineage: Bacteria
Description: partial 16S ribosomal RNA
Rfam family: Bacterial small subunit ribosomal RNA
Source: RNAcentral
UACGUAUGGGGCAAGCGUUAUCCGGAUUUACUGGGUGUAAGGGGAGCGUAGGCGGCGGGGCAAGCCUGAUGUGAAAGCCCGGGGCUCAACCCCGGGACUGCAUUGGGAACUGCCCUGCUGGAGUGCCGGAGGGGCAGGCGGAAUUCCUAGUGUAGCGGUGAAAUGCGUAGAUAUUAGGAGGAACACCAGUGGCGAAGGCGGCCUGCUGGACGGUGACUGACGCUGAGGCUCGAAAGCGUGGGGAGCAAACAGG